RNAcentral lists this ribosomal RNA (177 nucleotides) under Salmonella enterica subsp. enterica serovar Corvallis. RNAcentral describes it as "partial 16S ribosomal RNA". It matches the Rfam family "Bacterial small subunit ribosomal RNA", at positions 1 to 169 of the family's 1533-position model. The record is from RNAcentral. Lineage: Bacteria; Pseudomonadati; Pseudomonadota; Gammaproteobacteria; Enterobacterales; Enterobacteriaceae.
UUAAAUUGAAGAGUUUGAUCAUGGCUCAGAUUGAACGCUGGCGGCAGGCUUAACACAUGCAAGUCGAACGGUAACAGGAAGCAGCUUGCUGCUUUGCUGACGAGUGGCGGACGGGUGAGUAAUGUCUGGGAAACUGCCUGAUGGAGGGGGAUAACUACUGGAAACGGUGGCUAAUAC